RNAcentral lists this ribosomal RNA (422 nucleotides) under uncultured bacterium. RNAcentral's name for it is "partial 16S ribosomal RNA". It matches the Rfam family "Bacterial small subunit ribosomal RNA", at positions 361 to 776 of the family's 1533-position model. The record is from RNAcentral.
AUAUUGGACAAUGGGCGAAAGCCUGAUCCAGCCAUGCCGCGUGUGUGAAGAAGGUCUUCGGAUUGUAAAGCACUUUAAGUUGGGAGGAAGGGCAGUAAGUUAAUACCUUGCUGUUUUGACGUUACCGACAGAAUAAGCACCGGCUAACUUCGUGCCAGCAGCCGCGGUAAUACGAAGGGUGCAAGCGUUAAUCGGAAUUACUGGGCGUAAAGGGGCGUAGGUGGUUUGGUUAAGUGGGAAGUGAAACCCCGGGGUUAAACUGGGGACCUGUUUCAAAAACUGCCAAGCUGGAGAAUGGCAGAGGGUGGUGGAAUUCCUGGUGUAGCGGUGAAAUGCUUAGUAAUAGGAAGGAACCCAAGUGGGGAAGGCGACCCCCUGGGUAAAAAUUGAAACUGAGGUGCAAAAGCGUGGGAGCAAACAGG